Molecule: ribosomal RNA, 528 nt
Filed under: Cyanea sp. JRH-2014
Lineage: Eukaryota; Metazoa; Cnidaria; Scyphozoa; Semaeostomeae; Cyaneidae
Description: partial 16S ribosomal RNA
Rfam family: Bacterial large subunit ribosomal RNA
Source: RNAcentral
CAAAAACAUAGCCCCGUGAAUACCCUUACGAGGUGCUACCUGCUCAAUGAUUACUAAUAACAAACAUAAAUAACAAUAAUUAAAUAGCCGCGGUAACUCUGACCGUGAUAAAGUAGCAUAAUCACUUGUCAUUUAAUUGGUGACUGGAAUGAAUGGUUUAACGAAUCUCUAGCUGUCUCGGUUGAAAAUAUUAACAAAUUUAAAAUAACAGUGAAGAUGCUGUUGUUAAAUUGUAAGACGAAAAGACCCUAUUGAGCUUUACUGGACAAUCUGCAGAAAAUAAUAAUUCGUGAAACAUCACACACAUCACAUAUCUUGCAGAUAAGACAGUUUGGUUGGGGCGACCACCUCUAAAAUAGUAACAGAGGUAAUCUAAAGGUAUUAACUUAAUGGUAAUAACUUAACUGCAAUAACUAUAAUUUAACCAGAUAUACAACGUAGGACAUAAUGACCCGUUAAGAUUAACGACCAAUCUUAACGAUAAUAAAAUAAGUUACCAUAGGGAUAACAGGGUAAUAAUUUCAGAGA